This 280-nucleotide unclassified non-coding RNA is filed under the name Hevea brasiliensis (rubber tree). Lineage: Eukaryota; Viridiplantae; Streptophyta; Magnoliopsida; Malpighiales; Euphorbiaceae. The record is from RNAcentral.
GCCUUAGCACUUGGGGCAACAUCAGCCAUUUCACAUGUUGUUCUUGGUCAAUUCAAAACAUGUGUUGUGCUUCUUGGAAAUUUUUAUCUCUUUGGCUCCAAUCCAGGAGUGACCAGCAUAUGUGGUGCGUUCACAGCUAUUGCUGGAAUGUCUGCUUAUACAUACCUCAAUUUGUGCGGCAUGAAAUCACAGGCAGGGAAAACAUCUCCGCAUAAAACACCCGCAGCAAAAUCAAGGUUGAGUAGAGAAAAUGGAGAUAGUCAUGAUGGAUACGGUGGGG